UGGACUUAGUCAUAUUCAAUCGUCUCUUCAUCGGCAACAAUCCUCAUCGGCAACUCUUCUGCAGACUAGUUACCGUUGCUCCACCUGCCGAUCUAUACUCUACUGGUCCCUGGGUACGUGUCCAAAAACGGUGUCAACAAGUCUCAAGCAAGAAUUCCCUGCACCUCGGUGAAAACAUCAAAGCAGAAGUCCACACAUUCAAGCACACAAUGGGAAGAAAUCAUGAGAGCCAUGUUGCCAUGGUCACACAACAGCACCUAAUGGUA
Molecule: long non-coding RNA, 266 nt
Filed under: Sorghum bicolor (sorghum)
Lineage: Eukaryota; Viridiplantae; Streptophyta; Magnoliopsida; Poales; Poaceae
Description: long non-coding RNA (SBIC_LNC008112)
Source: RNAcentral